This 253-nucleotide ribosomal RNA is filed under the name uncultured bacterium. RNAcentral describes it as "partial 16S ribosomal RNA". It matches the Rfam family "Bacterial small subunit ribosomal RNA", at positions 524 to 776 of the family's 1533-position model. The record is from RNAcentral.
GACGAAGGGGGCUAGCGUUGUUCGGAAUUACUGGGCGUAAAGCGCACGUAGGCGGACAUUUAAGUCAGGUGUGAAAUCCCAGAGCUCAACUCUGGAACUGCCUUUGAUACUGGGUGUCUUGAGUAUGGAAGAGGUGAGUGGAAUUCCGAGUGUAGAGGUGAAAUUCGUAGAUAUUCGGAGGAACACCAGUGGCGAAGGCGGCUCACUGGUCCAUUACUGACGCUGAGGUGCGAAAGCGUGGGGAGCAAACAGG